UACGUAGGGUGCAAGCGUUGCCCGGAAUCAUUGGGCGUAAAGAGCGCGUAGGCGGCUAGAUAAGUCCGGUGUGAAAGUCACAGGCUCAACCUGUGAAUGCCGCUGGAAACUGUCUGGCUAGAGUCCGGAAGGGGCGAGUGGAAUUCCUGGUGUGGCGGUGAAAUGCGCAGAUAUCAGGAGGAACACCAAUGGCGAAGGCAGCUCGCUGGGACGGUACUGACGCUGAGGCGCGAAAGCGUGGGGAGCAAACAGG
RNAcentral lists this ribosomal RNA (253 nucleotides) under uncultured bacterium. RNAcentral's name for it is "partial 16S ribosomal RNA". It matches the Rfam family "Bacterial small subunit ribosomal RNA", at positions 524 to 776 of the family's 1533-position model. The record is from RNAcentral.